UGGGGAAUUGUUCGCAAUGGGCGCAAGCCUGACGACGCAACGCCGCGUGGAGGAUGAAGAUCUUCGGGUCGUAAACUCCUGUCGAGUGGGAAGAAUAGUUUCCGGGCGAAUAUCCCGGGAGCCUGACGGUACCACUAAAGGAAGCCCCGGCUAACUCCGUGCCAGCAGCCGCGGUAAUACGGGGGGGGCAAGCGUUGUUCGGAAUUACUGGGCGUAAAGGGCUCGUAGGCGGCCAACUAAGUCACACGUGAAAUCCCUCGGCUCAACCGGGGAACUGCGUGUGAGACUGGAUGGCUUGAGUGUGGGAGAGGAAUGCGGAAUUCCAGGUGUAGCGGUGAAAUGCGUAGAUAUCUGGAGGAACACCGGUGGCGAAGGCGGCAUUCUGGACCAAUACUGACGCUGAGGAGCGAAAGCCAGGGGAGCAAA
This 426-nucleotide ribosomal RNA is filed under the name uncultured bacterium. Its description in RNAcentral is "bacterial SSU rRNA". It matches the Rfam family "Bacterial small subunit ribosomal RNA", at positions 355 to 772 of the family's 1533-position model. The record is from RNAcentral.